GAUGAACGCUGGCGGCGUGCUUAACACAUGCAAGUCGAACGAUGAAGCCCAGCUUGCUGGGUGGAUUAGUGGCGAACGGGUGAGUAACACGUGAGUAACCUGCCCUUGACUCUGGGAUAAGCCCGGGAAACUGGGUCUAAUACCGGAUAGGAGCGCCUGUCGCAUGACGGGUGUUGGAAAGAUUUUUCGGUCAUGGAUGGACUCGCGGCCUAUCAGCUUGUUGGUGAGGUAAUGGCUCACCAAGGCGACGACGGGUAGCCGGCCUGAGAGGGUGACCGGCCACACUGGGACUGAGACACGGCCCAGACUCCUACGGGAGGCAGCAGUGGGGAAUAUUGCACAAUGGGCGGAAGCCUGAUGCAGCGACGCCGCGUGAGGGAUGACGGCCUUCGGGUUGUAAACCCCUUUCAGUAGGGAAGAAGCGAAAGUGACGGUACCUGCAGAAGAAGCACCGGCUAACUACGUG
This 466-nucleotide ribosomal RNA is filed under the name uncultured bacterium. RNAcentral describes it as "partial 16S ribosomal RNA". It matches the Rfam family "Bacterial small subunit ribosomal RNA", at positions 28 to 507 of the family's 1533-position model. The record is from RNAcentral.